CUUAACACAUGCAAGUCGAGGGGCAGCAUGGUCUUAGCUUGCUAAGGCCGAUGGCGACCGGCGCACGGGUGAGUAACACGUAUCCAACCUGCCGUCUACUCUUGGACAGCCUUCUGAAAGGAAGAUUAAUACAAGAUGGCAUCAUGAGUCCGCAUGUUCACAUGAUUAAAGGUAUUCCGGUAGACGAUGGGGAUGCGUUCCAUUAGAUAGUAGGCGGGGUAACGGCCCACCUAGUCUUCGAUGGAUAGGGGUUCUGAGAGGAAGGUCCCCCACAUUGGAACUGAGACACGGUCCAAACUCCUACGGGAGGCAGCAGUGAGGAAUAUUGGUCAAUGGGCGAGAGCCUGAACCAGCCAAGUAGCGUGAAGGAUGACUGCCCUAUGGGUUGUAAACUUCUUUUAUAAAGGAAUAAAGUUGGGUAUGGAUACCCGUUUGCAUGUACUUUAUGAAUAAGGAUCGGCUAACUCCGUGCCAGCAGCCGCGGUAAUACGGAGGAUCCGAGCGUUAUCCGGAUUUAUUGGGUUUAAAGGGAGCGUAGAUGGAUGUUUAAGUCAGUUGUGAAAGUUUGCGGCUCAACCGUAAAAUUGCAGUUGAUACUGGAUAUCUUGAGUGCAGUUGAGGCAGGCGGAAUUCGUGGUGUAGCGGUGAAAUGCUUAGAUAUCACGAAGAACUCCGAUUGCGAAGGCAGCCUGCUAAGCUGCAACUGACAUUGAGGCUCGAAAGUGUGGGUAUCAAACAGGAUUAGAUACCCUGGUAGUCCACACGGUAAACGAUGAAUACUCGCUGUUUGCGAUAUACUGCAAGCGGCCAAGCGAAAGCGUUAAGUAUUCCACCUGGGGAGUACGCCGGCAACGGUGAAACUCAAAGGAAUUGACGGGGGCCCGCACAAGCGGAGGAACAUGUGGUUUAAUUCGAUGAUACGCGAGGAACCUUACCCGGGCUUAAAUUGCAGAUGAAUUACGGUGAAAGCCGUAAGCCGCAAGGCAUCUGUGAAGGUGCUGCAUGGUUGUCGUCAGCUCGUGCCGUGAGGUGUCGGCUUAAGUGCCAUAACGAGCGCAACCCUUGUUGUCAGUUACUAACAGGUUCCGCUGAGGACUCUGACAAGACUGCCAUCGUAAGAUGUGAGGAAGGUGGGGAUGACGUCAAAUCAGCACGGCCCUUACGUCCGGGGCUACACACGUGUUACAAUGGGGGGUACAGAGGGCCGCUACCACGCGAGUGGAUGCCAAUCCCCAAAACCUCUCUCAGUUCGGACUGGAGUCUGCAACCCGACUCCACGAAGCUGGAUUCGCUAGUAAUCGCGCAUCAGCCACGGCGCGGUGAAUACGUUCCCGGGCCUUGUACACACCGCCCGUCAAGCCAUGGGAGCCGGGGGUACCUGAAGUGCGUAACCGCGAGGAGCGCCCUAGGGUAAAACUGGUGACUGGGGCUAAGUCAU
Molecule: ribosomal RNA, 1438 nt
Filed under: uncultured organism
Description: SSU rRNA
Rfam family: Bacterial small subunit ribosomal RNA
Source: RNAcentral